UUUCCCUCAGGAUAGCUGGCACUCGCUCGAGCGAGUCUCAUCUGGUAAAGCGAAUGAUUAGAGGCCUUGGGGCCGAAACGACCUCAACCUAUUCUCAAACUUUAAAUGGGUGAGAUCUCUGGCUUGCUUGAACAUUGAAGCCAUGAGAUUUUUCACGGAUCAGAGUGCCAAGUGGGCCAAUUUUGGUAAGCAGAACUGGCGCUGUGGGA
This 209-nucleotide ribosomal RNA is filed under the name Eretmocerus sp. D2199. RNAcentral describes it as "partial 28S ribosomal RNA". It matches the Rfam family "Eukaryotic large subunit ribosomal RNA", at positions 967 to 1163 of the family's 3401-position model. The record is from RNAcentral. Lineage: Eukaryota; Metazoa; Arthropoda; Insecta; Hymenoptera; Aphelinidae.